Molecule: long non-coding RNA, 1149 nt
Organism: Monodelphis domestica (gray short-tailed opossum)
Lineage: Eukaryota; Metazoa; Chordata; Mammalia; Didelphimorphia; Didelphidae
Source: Ensembl
CAACUCCGGCCCUCUGUGAAGAUCCUUAGAGAGUAGUCACCUUGCACUCCUACCAUGGGAAUGAAAGGGGUGCUGGGGGAGCUCUCUUCCAUCCGCACAGACUUCGAAGCUGGAAGGACCCGGGCUAUCCCCCACCGCUUUGUGUUGACGUCUCCCUCAUUUCUAGGAAUGCCCCAGUCCUGUUACUAUAUUUGGAGACAGCUUCUAGGAAAAGGUUCUCCCCCUAUCUCCACCCCACCCCCAAAUCACAUUUCCCUUACUCUCAGUCUCUGCCUGUCUCUCCGGUGCUCUGGAGUCGCCGCAGCUACCAACACUACCACCACUCCCCCCACCCCCCACUCCCGCCCCUGCCAACCCCAGCCCAGCCCAGCCCAGCUCAGCCCCCGCCUCUCGCAGCCCCUGCUAUAGGGCGGUCGGCCUGGGUCCCCGCUCUAGGGCGCUGGGCAGCUUUGCCACAACGUUGCAGAAAGGAGAGUAAAGCCGAGCAGGGGAGGACCUAGAGCUGGUUGGGGUGAUAGGGGGUGGGGGUGGAGGGGAGCUGUCUUUGUGGCAGCAGAGGAGGCUGAGCGCAGCAACAUCUCCCUUUCUAUGGAAAAGGAAUUCUUUCUUUUUUCUUUUGCACUUUUAAUUUUCAUUUUUGUAGGGGAGGGGACCAUCCUAGGAGUGAGGAGUGUGAAUGAGGGGGGAGGAUGUCUUUUCCGCCUCUCCCUCCCUUUGCCCCUCCUGCCCCUCUCUACCCCCCGCGGUACUGGAUGUGGCCUCCGGGUAGAUCAUGGCGUGAUCGAGGUGAAGAAAUGUUUGCGGGGAGCCUGACUGGGCGAGAUGGCAGAAUGAGUCAGGGAUCUGCUGGGGAUCGAGGCGGCACCCGGGCCAGGGCAGUACAGGCUGGCGGCUGGCUCUCUCCCCGCCCCUCGGCCCCCACCUUCCCCAGCAGUGACAGGCGGAGCAGGGGAGCGCUCCCUGCAGACCCCUGGGAGGAGGGAUUCGCUGUGGAAGUGGAUUAUGAUCUACCCCUCAGGCUUCUCCUGCUAUCUCCUGGCUGCAUACAUACGAACAGACUUGAAAUGGACUCCUUUCACAUCUCUGCUUGUUGAAGCCCUUCAAGGACCAACUCAGGAAUAAUAAAGUGGAGGAAUUCCAUGGGAACCA